Molecule: ribosomal RNA, 253 nt
Filed under: uncultured bacterium
Lineage: Bacteria
Description: partial 16S ribosomal RNA
Rfam family: Bacterial small subunit ribosomal RNA
Source: RNAcentral
UACGUAGGGGGCAAGCGUUGUCCGGAUUUAUUGGGCGUAAAGAGCGUGUAGGCGGCCUUGCAAGUCCGUUGUGAAAACUCGAGGCUCAACCUCGAGACGCCGGUGGAAACUGCAAAGCUAGAGUCCGGAAGAGGAGAGUGGAAUUCCUGGUGUAGCGGUGAAAUGCGUAGAUAUCAGGAGGAACACCGGCGGCGAAGGCGGCCCUCUGGAUCGUUGCUGACGCUGAGACGCGAAAGCGUGGGGAGCAAACAGG